RNAcentral lists this ribosomal RNA (472 nucleotides) under uncultured Halomicrobium sp. Its description in RNAcentral is "bacterial SSU rRNA". It matches the Rfam family "Archaeal small subunit ribosomal RNA", at positions 56 to 527 of the family's 1478-position model. The record is from RNAcentral. Lineage: Archaea; Methanobacteriati; Methanobacteriota; Halobacteria; Halobacteriales; Haloarculaceae.
AGUCGGUACGAGUUCAGACUCGAGGCGAAAAGCUCAGUAACACGUGGCCAAACUACCCUUAGGAACUCCAUACCCUCGGGAAACUGAGGUUAAUAGAGCAUCUCACACCACCACUGGAAUGAGUCGUGUGUCAAACGCUCCGGCGCCGAAGGAUGUGGCUGCGGCCGAUUAGGUAGACGGUGGGGUAACGGCCCACCGUGCCAAUAAUCGGUAUGGGUCAUGAGAGUGAGAACCCAGAGACGGAAUCUGAGACAAGAUUCCGGGCCCUACGGGGCGCAGCAGGCGCGAAACCUUUACACUGCACGACAGUGCGAUAGGGGGAUCCCAAGUGCACAGGCAUAGCGCCUGUGCUUUUGGGCACCCUAAGGCGGUGCCAGAAUAAUGGGCUGGGCAAGACCGGUGCCAGCCGCCGCCGUAAUACCCCCAGCCCUAGUUUUGCCCGAUCCAACUGGGCCUAAUGCGUCCGGAUUCU